RNAcentral lists this ribosomal RNA (254 nucleotides) under uncultured bacterium. RNAcentral's name for it is "partial 16S ribosomal RNA". It matches the Rfam family "Bacterial small subunit ribosomal RNA", at positions 524 to 776 of the family's 1533-position model. The record is from RNAcentral.
UACGGGGGGAGCAAGCGUUGUUCGGAUUUACUGGGCGUAAAGGGCGCGUAGGCGGCCAGCACAAGUCAGUUGUGAAAUCUCCGAGCUUAACUCGGAAAGGUCAACUGAUACUGUGCGGCUAGAGUGCGGAAGGGGCAACUGGAAUUCUUGGUGUAGCGGUGAAAUGCGUAGAUAUCUGGAGGAAUACCGGUGGCGAAGGCGGCGUUCUGGACCAUUACUGACACUGAAUCGCGAAAGCUAGGGGAGCAAACGGG